GACGAACGCUGGCGGCGUGCUUAACACAUGCAAGUCGAGCGGUAAGGCCCUUUCGGGGGUACACGAGCGGCGAACGGGUGAGUAACACGUGGGUGACCUGCCCUCAGCUCUGGGAUAAGCCUGGGAAACCGGGUCUAAUACCGGAUAUGACUCCGCGGCGCAUGUUGUGGGGUGGAAANCCUUGUGCGGCUGAGAUGGCCCGCGGCUAUCAGCUUGUUGGUGGGGUGAUGGCCACCAAGGCGACGACGGGUAGCCGGCCUGAGAGGGCGACCGGCCACACUGGGAC
Molecule: ribosomal RNA, 286 nt
Filed under: uncultured bacterium
Lineage: Bacteria
Description: partial 16S ribosomal RNA
Rfam family: Bacterial small subunit ribosomal RNA
Source: RNAcentral